UGGGGAAUAUUGCAGCAAUGGGCGAAAGCCUGAUGCAGCAACGCCGCGUGAGGGACGACGGCCUUCGGGUUGUAAACCUCUUUUAGCAAGGAAGAAGCGAAAGUGACGGUACUUGCAGAAAAACGCGCCGGCUAACUACGUGCCAGCAGCCGCGGUAAUACGUAGGGCGCAAGCGUUAUCCGGAAUUAUUGGGCGUAAAGAGCUCGUAGGCGGUUUGUCGCGUCUGCUGUGAAAACCCGAGGCUCAACCUCGGGCCUGCAGUGGGUACGGGCAGACUAGAGUGCGGUAGGGGAGAUUGGAACUCCUGGUGUAGCGGUGGAAUGCGCAGAUAUCAGGAAGAACACCGAUGGCGAAGGCAGAUCUCUGGGCCGUAACUGACGCUGAGGAGCGAAAGGGUGGGGAGCAAAACAGGGCUUAGAAUGACCCUGGUAGUCCACCCCGUAAACGUUGGGAACU
RNAcentral lists this ribosomal RNA (456 nucleotides) under uncultured bacterium. Its description in RNAcentral is "partial 16S ribosomal RNA". It matches the Rfam family "Bacterial small subunit ribosomal RNA", at positions 355 to 817 of the family's 1533-position model. The record is from RNAcentral.